UCCUCAAACCCUUUACCUUCAAAAUUUUAGUUUCCCUCCUAUCACUCUCAAACAUCAUACCUAAUUCAUCCUCAAACCGCACAACAAACCUAAUUUCCGGUGAUCAUUAUGUGGUUCAGUCGCCAGAAGCGUUCAAUCGCGGUGACCUUCGGUUCAAUAGCUGGGUUCAAUCGGCGUGUAAGAGUGGUUCCAUCGCCCUGGUUAAGUACUGUUCUUCAAUCGAUUUGACUUCUACGUUUUCAAUAAGGUUAUAUAAUGCAUAAUUUUUGGUUUUAUUUGAAUGAUUGUAAAUUAUUAAUGGGUGUUCCAUGUUUGAUAGUGAUAUAGCUCUUUGUAUCUGCCAUUUCUUGUCUUUGAAUGUUUUUUUAAUGUUUGUUUUGUAAAUGAUUUGAUUUGUAGAUUUUUGGUAUUCUUACACACUCGUUUAAUUGUUGCAAGGAGAAAAUAAAGGGUUUUAUGUAUGCAAGAAGAAGAUGGUAACUUCCCCAGAAACAUUUUGUGGAUUCUGGCCUGCCCCAUUUCGAAAUUAUCUGGAAUACGUUGUUAAUCUGGAAUACGCAACGUAUAUUUCUUUUCUUUUUUAAUGGGAUACUUGGUCUGGAUCCGGAUAUUAGAUCAAUCAAUACCGAUGGUGCUCAGAAGGACACAAGCGAGGAAGAUUGACAAUGGAUCAAGAAGAUGAUCAACAGCCAAAUGAGAAGAUCCGCAUGGGGAUGCCUGUAACUCAGUGGAUAACUGUAUAUAAUGCUCACCUCCUAAUGAAAUAGAGAUAUCACUGUGAUGUGGCAGAUCAAAGACUUGCUCAAUAUAUUGACAAAGGAAACGAAGAUGGGUUGCUUAUCAGCAGUGUGGCUUCUUGUUCAAACCUAUGGGCUCUUAUAAUGGAUUCUGGCACUGUAUCACCUCUCAAGUUUACCAACUCUCUCCCUCAUUUCUCAACAAGGUACCAAAUACAUUCAGCAGUAUUACAAAGUCAGUGAAUCAUUUUCUUUUUAGUGGAUAGAUAAUAAAUGGAGAGAGGUUCCAUAUCACUGCUAUGGCAACUGCGAGAAUCAGAUGGGCAAUUGUUAUGUCCUGUGGCGCCGGAUUCUCUGACUAGGUUGUGGAACUUGACUUGUUGUAUCCAAGUGAAGGUAUGCAUAAACGAUGGGAUGCUGGGUAUAGAUAACAUUAACUGCAUCUACAUCAAACCAAGCUGCUUUUGUUCUUAGCAUCCGAGAAGAAAACUUGCAGAUGAUACACAGGACACACUUCACACUUCUGUGUUUCCUAGCACACAUGUCAAGGGCAAUGGCCGUGUAUGCUUCACAAUGUGGUGCCAACUUAAGGGUUAAACUCAUCUGGAUUAACGCUAGGUGUCCACGUCAGCCAGGAGUACUGAAUGCGGCUACUAUGUGAUGAAGUUCAUGAAGGAGAUAGCUUACGAAGGAGUUGAAAUACUUGACAAUGAUAAUGUUGGGAAAGGAGUAGAGGAAUACUCAGCUGCGGAUAUGGAUGGCAUUCGUGAAGAUUGGUCGACUUAUGUGGUUAACUCUAUUUUUAAGUUAUAAAUCGUAUUUUAGGUGUUGAUAAUGUAAUGACAAACAAUUCUUUUUUUUUUGUUAACAUUAAAAUAUUUGUAGUAUACUUAACAAAUGAUUA
Helianthus annuus (common sunflower) is the source of this 1641-nucleotide long non-coding RNA. RefSeq lists it as uncharacterized. The record is from RefSeq and is a predicted model, not a curated record. The transcript has 8 exons. NCBI's taxonomy places the organism in Eukaryota, Viridiplantae, Streptophyta, Magnoliopsida, Asterales, Asteraceae.